UGCCUGUGCACGUUGCCUGUCCCUGCAGCACAAAUACACGCAGCAUGAGUGUGAGCAGGGCCUGGUGCUGCCAUGCCUGCAAGGCUCCAAGCAGAUGAUGCAACUGGUGUCCUGCUCUGGAGCUGCUUCCACUGCUUGCUGAGGGCUGUGCUCUUGACAGAAGGAACUGGGGGAAGAUGGAAGGGAUGGGCAAGAUGAGAAGAGCUGUGAGGAGGGCAGAGGAAUGGGAAGGAGCCCCAGGCCUUGAGUAUGGCAGGCUG
Numida meleagris (helmeted guineafowl) is the source of this 260-nucleotide long non-coding RNA. RefSeq lists it as uncharacterized. Lineage: Eukaryota; Metazoa; Chordata; Aves; Galliformes; Numididae. The transcript is spliced from 2 exons. The record is from RefSeq and is a predicted model, not a curated record.